AUAUCAAUAAGCGGAGGAAAAGAAACUAACAAGGAUUCCCCUAGUAACGGCGAGUGAAGCGGGAAAAGCUCAAAUUUAAAAUCUGGCUGUCUUAGAUAGUCCGAGUUGUAAACUAGAGAAGUGUUUUCUGCGCUGGACUGUGUACAAGUCUCUUGGAAUAGAGCGUCAUAGAGGGUGAGAAUCCCGUCUUUGACACAGACAACCAGGGCUAUAUGAUACACUCUCGAAGAGUCGAGUUGUUUGGGAAUGCAGCUCAAAAUGGGUGGUAAAUUCCAUCUAAAGCUAAAUACAGGCGAGAGACCGAUAGCGAACAAGUACCGUGAGGGAAAGAUGAAAAGCACUUUGGAAAGAGAGUUAAACAGUACGUGAAAUUGCUGAAAGGGAAACGCUUGAAGUCAGUCGCGUUAGUUGAGACUCAGCCUUGCUUUUGCUUGGUGCACUUCUUAGCUGACGGGUCAACAUCAAUUUUGACCGUUGGAUAAAGUCGUUGGGAAUGUGGCAUCUUAGGAUGUGUUAUAGCCCAUUGUCGCAUACAGCGGUUGGGAUUGAGGAACUCAGCACGCCCGCAAGGGACGGGUUUUGACCACGUAUCGUGCUUAGGAUGCUGGCAUAAUGGCUUUAAUCGA
This 626-nucleotide ribosomal RNA is filed under the name uncultured fungus. Its description in RNAcentral is "eukaryotic LSU rRNA". It matches the Rfam family "Eukaryotic large subunit ribosomal RNA", at positions 40 to 647 of the family's 3401-position model. Lineage: Eukaryota; Fungi. The record is from RNAcentral.